CUUCACGCCACAGCAACUGGCAUAAGCACCGGCCUGAUGAGCUACAAAGGCUCGGGACAGGACUGUGACUUUGACUGAUUCACCAGAAGGAAAAUAUGUUGGAAGUGACAAAAUGACUGAAUAGGUCCGCUCAAGGUCUUUAAACUCAUCUGUGCUUCUCAGCACCUAUGACAGGGUUCUUUUGAAGACCUGACCUGGAGUUACAUGCUGACUAUGGUCCUUUGCGGGAACGUGACCCGCUCUUGGGGCUUCACAACCGGCUGUUGUUCGGCACGCCAAAGGCUCGGCCUAAGAGUUCAACUCAGCUUUGGAGACUGAGGAACUCAGGGCUCUGGAGAUGGGCGGAUCGAAGAUUGGUGUCCCGGACGGGUGUAUCGAGGGACCUGGAACACCUUUGGCUGUGUGCCCAGAGACUUGAGAUCUUUAGGUACUGAGUUCAAAAAAAGUGACACAACGGACUUUUAACAUCAUAAACCAGCAAGUUGUUUGUUGUGCCUCCCCUCUCGCAGUGAACAGACAGAGCCUGUGGUAUGUCGAAUGCUGGGUGAACAACGUAGUCUUUG
This is a long non-coding RNA of Hypanus sabinus (Atlantic stingray), 563 nucleotides long. RefSeq lists it as uncharacterized. The transcript has 3 exons. NCBI's taxonomy places the organism in Eukaryota, Metazoa, Chordata, Chondrichthyes, Myliobatiformes, Dasyatidae. The record is from RefSeq and is a predicted model, not a curated record.